RNAcentral lists this ribosomal RNA (661 nucleotides) under uncultured cyanobacterium. Its description in RNAcentral is "bacterial SSU rRNA". It matches the Rfam family "Bacterial small subunit ribosomal RNA", at positions 99 to 795 of the family's 1533-position model. The record is from RNAcentral. Lineage: Bacteria; Bacillati; Cyanobacteriota.
CGGACGGGUGAGUAACGCGUGAGAAUCUGCCUUGAGGAUGGGGACAACAGUUGGAAACGACUGCUAAUACCCAAUGUGCCGGAAGGUGAAAAUUUUUUGCCUUAAGAGGAGCUCGCGUCUGAUUAGCUAGUUGGUGGGGUAAAAGCUUACCAAGGCAACGAUCAGUAGCUGGUCUGAGAGGAUGAGCAGCCACACUGGGACUGAGACACGGCCCAGACUCCUACGGGAGGCAGCAGUGGGGAAUUUUCCGCAAUGGGCGAAAGCCUGACGGAGCAAUACCGCGUGAGGGAGGAAGGCCUUUGGGUUGUAAACCUCUUUUCUCAGGGAAGAAGAUCUGACGGUACCUGAGGAAUAAGCAUCGGCUAACUCCGUGCCAGCAGCCGCGGUAAUACGGAGGAUGCAAGCGUUAUCCGGAAUUAUUGGGCGUAAAGCGUCCGCAGGUGGUCUUUCAAGUCUGCUGUCAAAGACUGGAGCUCAACUCCGGGCAGGCGGUGGAAACUGAGAGACUAGAGUACGGUAGGGGUAGCGGGAAUUCCCAGUGUAGCGGUGAAAUGCGUAGAUAUUGGGAAGAACAUCGGUGGCGAAGGCGCGCUACUGGACCGAAACUGACACUCAGGGACGAAAGCUAGGGGAGCGAAAGGGAUUAGAUACCCCUGUAGUC